This 387-nucleotide unclassified non-coding RNA is filed under the name uncultured Pseudomonadota bacterium. Its description in RNAcentral is "uncultured proteobacterium contains 16S-23S intergenic spacer region". Lineage: Bacteria; Pseudomonadati; Pseudomonadota. The record is from RNAcentral.
UCCUGCUUAACGCAGGCAGUUCCCUUAGAGUGCCCAUCUUAAUGCUGGCAACUAAGGAUAGGGGUUGCGCUCGUUGCGGGACUUAACCCAAUAUUUCACAACACGAGCUGACGACAGCCAUGCAGCACCUGUCUCUAAGCGGCUAUAUUGCUAUAGUCAAAGGCUACAUCUCUGUAGCUUUUCUUAGGAUGUCAAGUCUAGGUAAGGUUUUGCGCGUUGCUUCGAAUUGAACCACAUAAUCCACCGCUUGUGCGGGUCCCCGUCAAUUUCUUUGAGUUUUAAUCUUGCGACCGUACUUCCCAGGCGGAUAACUUAACGCGUUAGCUUCGACACUGAAAAUAUCAACAUUCCCAACGUCUAGUUAUCAUCGUUUAGGGCAUGGACUAC